Molecule: unclassified non-coding RNA, 217 nt
Filed under: uncultured Thelephoraceae
Lineage: Eukaryota; Fungi; Basidiomycota; Agaricomycetes; Thelephorales; Thelephoraceae
Description: sequence contains ITS2
Source: RNAcentral
ACACCUCAACUCUCAUGGCUUGCCAUGAUGAGCUUGGACUUUGGGGGUCUUGCUGGCCUAUGGGUCAGCUCCUCUCAAAUGAAUUAGCUUGCCGGUGUUUGGUGGCAUCACAUGUGUGAUAACUAUCUACGCUUGUGGUUUCCACCAGGUAACCCCCAGCAAUGGAGGUUCACUGGAGCUCAUAAACGUCUCUCCUCAGUGGGGACAGAUUUUGACC